RNAcentral lists this ribosomal RNA (468 nucleotides) under uncultured bacterium. RNAcentral's name for it is "partial 16S ribosomal RNA". It matches the Rfam family "Bacterial small subunit ribosomal RNA", at positions 28 to 507 of the family's 1533-position model. The record is from RNAcentral.
GACGAACGCUGGCGGCGUGCUUAACACAUGCAAGUCGAACGGCAAGGCCCUGCUUUUGUGCGGUGCUCGAGUGGCGAACGGGUGAGUAACACGUGAGUAACCUGCCCUUGACUUUGGUAUAACUUCAGGAAACUGGGGCUAAUACCGGAUAGGAGCUCCUGCUGCAUGGUGGGGGUUGGAACGUUUCGGCGGUUGGGGAUGGACUCGCGGCUUAUCAGCUUGUUGGUGGGGUAGUGGCUUACCAAGGCUUUGACGGGUAGCCGGCCUGAGAGGGUGACCGGCCACAUUGGGACUGAGAUACGGCCCAGACUCCUACGGGAGGCAGCAGUGGGGAAUAUUGCACAAUGGGCGGAAGCCUGAGGCAGCAACGCCGCGUGCGGGAUGACGGCCUUCGGGUUGUAAACCGCUUUCGCCUGUGACGAAGCGUGAGUGACGGUAAUGGGUAAAGAAGCACCGGCUAACUACGUG